CUCUAAUGAUAACCCCUAUUUUGUGCCACGUGUCUGGGCCACUGAUGUACUAUGAUGUGAUUGACUAACUGAGAAG
This is a small nucleolar RNA of Labeo rohita (rohu), 76 nucleotides long. RefSeq annotates it as small nucleolar RNA SNORD66. The transcript has a single exon. Lineage: Eukaryota; Metazoa; Chordata; Actinopteri; Cypriniformes; Cyprinidae. The record is from RefSeq and is a predicted model, not a curated record.